GCCAGCAGCCAUAUCACUCUGCAACUCACAACUGGCAGCCCACUGAAGCUCAGCAGGUGUGAGCCUGGUCAGUACCCGGAUGGGAGACCUCCUGGGCAAGCUAAGGUUGCUGCUGGAA
RNAcentral lists this ribosomal RNA (118 nucleotides) under Lepisosteus oculatus (spotted gar). Lineage: Eukaryota; Metazoa; Chordata; Actinopteri; Semionotiformes; Lepisosteidae. The record is from RNAcentral.